RNAcentral lists this transfer RNA (74 nucleotides) under Parvularcula mediterranea. It matches the Rfam family "tRNA". Rfam says of the family: Transfer RNA (tRNA) molecules are approximately 80 nucleotides in length. Their secondary structure includes four short double-helical elements and three loops (D, anti-codon, and T loops). Lineage: Bacteria; Pseudomonadati; Pseudomonadota; Alphaproteobacteria; Parvularculales; Parvularculaceae. The record is from Rfam by way of RNAcentral.
GGGGGCAUAGCUCAAUUGGUUAGAGCUGGCGGCUCAUAACCGCUAGGUUGGGGGUUCGAGUCCCUCUGCCCCUA